This 24-nucleotide non-coding RNA is filed under the name Arabidopsis thaliana (thale cress). The record is from RNAcentral. Lineage: Eukaryota; Viridiplantae; Streptophyta; Magnoliopsida; Brassicales; Brassicaceae.
UCCGACUGACCCGACCAAUGAUAC